GACGAACGCUGGCGGCGCGCCUAACACAUGCAAGUCGAGCGGAGCGCACUAGACGAAGCCUUCGGGUGGAGUAUGGUGUUGCUUAGUGGCGAACGGGUGAGUAACACGUGAGCAACCUACCUUCCAGUGGGGGACAACAUUUGGAAACAGAUGCUAAUACCGCAUAAGACCACAGUGCCACCUGGCACAGCGGCCAAAGGAGCAAUUCGCUGGAAGAUGGGCUCGCGCCCGAUUAGCUAGUUGGUGAGGUAACGGCCCACCAAGGCAACGAUCGGUAGCCGGACUGAGAGGUUGAACGGCCACAUUGGGACUGAGACACGGCCCAGACUCCUACGGGAGGCAGCAGUGGGGAAUAUUGCACAAUGGGCGAAAGCCUGAUGCAGCUACGCCGCGUGAGGGAAGAAGGUUUUCGGAUUGUAAACCUCUGUCUUCGGGGACGAUAAUGACGGUACCCGAGGAGGAAGCCACGGCUAACUACGUGCCAGCAGCCGCGGUAAAACGUAGGUGGCAAGCGUUGUCCGGAAUUACUGGGUGUAAAAGGGAGCGCAGGCGGGUUGCCACGUCGGGCGUGAAUUUAUGGCUCAACCCCAUAGCGUGCGUUCGAAACUGGUGCUCUUGACUGAUGGAGAGGCAGGCGGAAAUUCCCCGGUGUAGCGGUGGAAUGCGUAGAUAUCGGGAGGAACACCCAGUGGCGAAGGCGGCCUGCUGGACAUUAACUGACGCUGAGGCUCGAAAGUGUGGGUAGCAAACAGGAUUAGAUACCCUGGUAGUCCACACCGUAAACGAUGAUUACUAGGUGUAGGGGGAUAGACCCCCUCUGUGCCGCAGCUAACGCAAUAAGUAAUCCACCUGGGGAGUACGGCCGCAAGGCUGAAACUCAAAGGAAUUGACGGGGGCCCGCACAAGCAGUGGAGUAUGUGGUUUAAUUCGAAGCAACGCGAAGAACCUUACCAGGUCUUGACAUCCCGCGCAUAGCAUGGAGACAUGUGAAACCCUUCGGGGCGCGGUGACAGGUGGUGCAUGGUUGUCGUCAGCUCGUGUCGUGAGAUGUUGGGUUAAGUCCCGCAACGAGCGCAACCCUUAUCGUUAGUUACUACGCAAGAGGACUCUAGCGAGACUGCCGUUGACAAAACGGAGGAAGGUGGGGAUGACGUCAAAUCAGCAUGCCCUUUAUGACCUGGGCUACACACGUACUACAAUGGCCGUUAACAGAGGGAAGCGAAGCCGCGAGGUGGAGCAAAACCCAGAAAAACGGUCUCAGUUCGGAUUGGAGGCUGCAACCCGCCUCCAUGAAGCCGGAAUUGCUAGUAAUCGCGGAUCAGCAUGCCGCGGUGAAUACGUUCCCGGGCCUUGUACACACCGCCCGUCACACCAUGAGAGCCGGGGGGACCCGAAGUCAGUAGCCUAACCGCAAGGGGGGCGCUGCCGAAGGUAAAACUGGUGAUUGGGGUG
This 1452-nucleotide ribosomal RNA is filed under the name uncultured Oscillospiraceae bacterium. RNAcentral describes it as "bacterial SSU rRNA". It matches the Rfam family "Bacterial small subunit ribosomal RNA". Lineage: Bacteria; Bacillati; Bacillota; Clostridia; Eubacteriales; Oscillospiraceae. The record is from RNAcentral.